Dromaius novaehollandiae (emu) is the source of this 4034-nucleotide long non-coding RNA. RefSeq lists it as uncharacterized. Lineage: Eukaryota; Metazoa; Chordata; Aves; Casuariiformes; Dromaiidae. The transcript has 3 exons. The record is from RefSeq and is a predicted model, not a curated record.
GAGUAUGAGGGGGUCUCAGUUGCUUAAGGGCGUGUGCUCCAGGUAAUUUGAUUAAUCUUCUACUUUGCUUAUACUGCAUUUGUAGCACUCAUUAAAUUUUUAUUGGCACAAUUCUGCAAUCAUUUACUAACCCAUAUCCCCUGAUUUCCAUGAAAAGAUUGCCUAUAUUGGGAAAGUAGGACUGGGCCUGUGCUAGUUUUAAAUCUUUGUUUUCUGAAAAGAUUCCCCCCCUCCCAUCCUCCUCCCAAAUAGUCAUUCAUCUGAAUAGCCCUCAACCUCUGCAGGGUGAUUAAAUGCUUUCUGCUAAGGAAACAGGCCUCUCUUUCAUGUUUCCAAAGAGCAAUAGAAAAAAAUUAAAGAUUUUGGGGGAGGGAGAGAAUGACAAAAAACCCCUUUAUCUUCUUUAUAAUUAUGACUUAGAAAAAGACUCAUAAGCUUUUAAAUUGGUAAUAUAUAAUUGGUAUCACCAUUUAGUUUGUGUAUGUAACACCUGAAACCUGGUAGCUGUGUAGUAGACUCUCACUAAGAGAAUAGCAAUUUACUAAUUCCCUUUUAAAGAAUAACAGACAAUUCACAAACACAGCUUUGGCACACUGCUUAAUUCAGUUGCUCCAUGCUUCUAUGAAGGUUUAUUGACUAUAUAAGGAUCAAAUAAGAGGUGAACUGAAAUCAGAAACACAGUAUUCAUUCAUUUAACUCUGCUAUAGUAGAGCAAAUUCAGGGUGACUCAAGGGACACAAUGUCUUGUAAAACAUAUGUACUUAAUAUAAGGGUCAUAAAACUUAUUAAAUUAAAAGCUAGGUUAAAAAUAGGAAGAAAAUUUAUGCUGCUGUCUAAAAUAGCAAUAAUUUCCAUUUGGCCUUUCCCUUUCCAACUAAUAUGGGUUACAGUUUAAAAAAAUAGUCAACUGGUAAAAUAUUCAUUCUUCACAAGUGAAUGCAAGUCACUCUCUACCAGGUGAAUUGUAUGACUAAUAAUACAGCACAAUAAAAGGUGAAGGGGGGUUGCUACCAGCUGGGAGGAUAUAUUGCAUCAUUGCUGACCACACAUGGAAAACUAUCAGCAUCCAUUUAAUAUUUGGGAAGGAAGAGCGGGUUGUGCUUGGCCAACAGGACACAACGGAAAGCUUUUUCAGCCAUGAAUUAAUGACAAGGACAAAAAUUCCCGUUUGUUCCUUCAUGGAGAUGCUCCGUUGCUGCCGGACUCCAGCCAGGCCCCUCUGUCCUCCUGGUACAACUGCUGGGGAUGCAAGAAGCCCCUCUCAGGUGAGUUUCGAAGGGUUAUUCAAACAAGGGCUUUACAGGGGGUGCGAGGAGCCGAGAACCUGCUCCCUGUGUUGUCAGGUGUAGAAAAGGAGAGCUGCUCAGAUUAUCCCCCAGCCCCGCAGGAUGACAGCAGAGUUUAACUCCUUCGAUCAAGAGAAACUUUUUCUAUUAGAGACAUUGGGGGAUGGGAUAAAUUAGUGUUGUGACUUAAAUCCUCUUUUCUAACUGUGAAGAAAUCAAAAUGAUGCUGGUCCAUCCUUGACUCAUAGCGCUAUCCAGACCAUUCCUAGCUGAGAGCCAUCCUAAUGCUUGCUCAAUGGCAUGAGUUAAGGAUGGGCAUGAAAGAUUGGCGUGUGCUGGAAUUUAACCAUUUUUCAGUCCUUCAAGUCUUGAAAACCACAUCAUGUUUUUUUCUAAAUUAAAAAGAAAAAAAAUCCCAUAACAAUGAAUUUUUUUUCUUCUUUGUGACUUCAGUCUUCCAUGUUGACCAAGCUCAUCCUGUUCCCUUGUACUCAUCAGUGUGGGUUGUUUUUUAUCCUGUUCCUUGUCAUCUCUGCUUUGCCCUUUAGAGUAGGUGUUUGUCAGGACAAAGACCAUCUUUCCGGUGUGUUUUUGUGCCAUAGGAUAAUGUACCAGCCUUGAUUCUAGUGUCCUGCCUGCUAUGAGCAUCGCUCUUUUUCUCCACACUGUUUAAACAGUUCUACAUCCAAAUCUGUCACCCAUGACCUCAUUAAGUUGCUUUUAAUCACCCAAGGAUGCCUAUCAGGCCUAACACCAUCAUUUCCUGAGGAAUUUUCCCCUGAUUUACUUAAUAGUUCUAAAGUGCUAAGCGGGAGACCUCCAAGGGGUGUUCCCUGUGAAUGCCGGGUUACUGGCAUUUAUACUGUGUUUUAAAUAAACAGUGUUUUGCAGGCACGCUUGUGUUGAAAAAUAAACUUCUGGGCAGAAGGAGCUUGUUCACAUCAGAGCUGGACUGGUAGCGAUUUGGGUUUCCCCAGCAGAUGGAAAGAGGUCAAGCUUUUGAGGAAAAAUUCAACCUUCCCUAAAUAAUGAGGAUUUCAGACACGCCAGGGAGAAGAAAAGCCUGAAACCGCAGUACCGGCUCCUUCUGGGAGCGCUUGGGAAGGAGGGCAGGACUGCAUGCCUGCAGUGUGUUCCUGGGACACCUCAAAGGGAAAAGAUGGUGCGUGGCACGCUCUCUGAGAAACUUGUUUUAACCCGGCGUGUUCUCUGCUGCACCAAAUCCCUCCUAAUGCCCCCAAACUGUGGAUCUAUGCUUACUGGGAUCUCCAGUGCUGGAAUGGGUGGCUUCGUGUCUUCCUCAGCUCUAGUUGGUGACGUGUGUGGGGAUCUACUGCCCUAAUUCACAUUUUGAGAGGCUUUCAAAGUGGUAGUCAUUGCCCUUUUCUGGGCUGUAGUGCCAACUCAACUGCCUCCUCCACUGAGCAUAAAAAAUGGCCUAACUUCUGGGAUAAAACCGUAAGAGAGCUAGAGAGACUGCUGUUCUCUUAAGCAAGGGUCUUUCACGGGAUUCAAUCUUUUUUUUUUUUUCCACUCUUUCUCUGUAAAUUGUGGCUGUUCUUAGAGAGGUUGAAGGUAGGUUGUCUAAUCAUGGUUGUCCUGUUUCUUUCUAGGACUCCCCUUUCUCCGUAGUUCUCGCCAAUCCUUAGGCUUUGACAGCGAGGAGGCCCCUUAGCGUGCACUGCGAUGGGCUGGCCAAGGGGCGCAAGGCUGGCAGGAACAGGACAGAGUUCCCAGCUAGCCCUAGAGCCAUCGUUGCUGUCUCCCUACUAACACUGGGCUUGAUUUGGGACCUGGAGUUUGAGAAGGAAAGCCUGAGGAAAGUUGGGAAGAGGCAUAUUUGUGAAAUGAUUGAUAAUUACGAAAUGAAGAUCCUUUAAGCUCAAUGUGACCAGGUCUAGCGUGCGUGCAUAGAGGUUUGCUGAAUGGCUUGCUGCCAUUUAGGGGGAAGGAACGUAUGCUUUUAGGGCCGCCUCUACGUCACUGCAAUAACGCUGUAUCCUCAGCCUUCCAUUUGCAAUUCCGUUGAAGGCAGUAAGCUUGGUGUGUGGUCAGUGAACUUAAUGCAGGUAUUUUUCAGAAGGAAACAUUUCUCUACUAGACUGUCUUGCAUGCUGUGCUAUCGUGGCCUGAGAGAACUCAGCCUGAUCUUCAGACUGAGUUGUACCUUGUCCUGAUGUUUUCAGGAGAACAUGUUUGGGUUGACCUUUCAGUCCUGUUGAUGGGAUCACAGCUACUUCACCUACAGCAUAUUCAGUGCUAUUUCUUUUCCUUCUGUCUUAAGGAGGCAGCAGUUGCACCACCAUGAUGGAAUAUGGUAGCGUUCAGCCAUCUGCCCUAUAGCUGUGCUCUCUCGAUGCACGGAGACAACUCAUUACGUAGGGAAGAAGUUCGUAACGGUGGUGCUGUUGGAGCUAGGCGGGUGCCGGGGUGCUUUCAUGCUGAUCAAACCGGAGGCAGUGCGUCAAAAACAAGGUGUUCCAACUUCUGAGAAGGUGGUCCUGUGCGAGUCUGGGGCUGGGCUUCGAUAGGAAUCGUUUGCUCAUGCAGGGCCUGUCCGUGAGGAUGCAGUAGGUACCGCGUAACUGCUCAGCGUGUGGAUGUUUUGCCGAGCACUGGCCCGCACAGCUUGGUGAGAUCCAUCAUACUGAGGGGGACUUUGGGUGGUGGCACGUGGUAAGUAAAUGUAUUUGCUGCUAAGGGUCUCUGAAAGGCACGUAGCCUGGCGUGGGCGUAUGGCGAGGUGAC